Molecule: ribosomal RNA, 474 nt
Filed under: uncultured bacterium
Lineage: Bacteria
Description: SSU rRNA
Rfam family: Bacterial small subunit ribosomal RNA
Source: RNAcentral
AGGACGAACGCUGGCGGCGUGCUUAACACAUGCAAGUCGAGCGGAAAGGCCCUUCGGGGUACUCGAGCGGCGAACGGGUGAGUAACACGUGAGUAAUCUGCCCCUAGCUCUGGGAUAGCUCCGGGAAACCGGGAUUAAUACCAGAUACGACCACUUUAGACAUCUUCUGUGGUGGAAAGAACUUCGGCUAGGGAUGAACUCGCGGCCUAUCAGCUUGUUGGUGAGGUAACGGCUCACCAAGGCGACGACGGGUAGCCGGCCUGAGAGGGCGACCGGCCACACUGGGACUGAGACACGGCCCCAGACUCCUACGGGAGGCAGCAGUGGGGAAUAUUGCGCAAUGGGCGAAAGCCUGACGCAGCGACGCCGCGUGGGGGAUGAAGGCCUUCGGGUUGUAAACCCCUUUCAGCAGGGACGAAGCGAAAGUGACGGUACCUGCAGAAGAGCGCCGGCUAACUACGCGCCAGCAGCCGC